CAGAAAAUACCUCCCCCAAAAGCCUCGUUGGAGAUUUCUCAGUUUCCAUUGUUUACUUCCUGCCCCGCGUGACGUAGCUGCACCGCGUGACGUCACUUCCUCUGCCAGCCGACCAUAUUAAGUGUCGUAAAACCUGCUUCUUUUCAAAGCUCUAUCCAGUCAUGUCGCGGAGGGUCUGUUGCCUGUCUUGUGUGGAGAAAUCCACAAUGUUUGCAGUACCGAAGGCAGAACCACGACGAAGUCAGUGGUUGACAUUCCUUUUUAACACUGUUCCAGCUGAUUUACCAGCCGGUACUGUUGUGUGUGCGCGGCAUUUCACGGACCAAAGCUUUAAAAACGUAACAAUGUUUAGCUUCGGACUUGCAAAGCUGAUAUUGGAGGACGAUGCUGUUCCUACUUUGUUUGGACCAGCGGGAGAUUCGGGUACACAACCUGUUUGUCCAAGAAACUUCUGAAACUUACACAGAACAAGGACUGUGACGCAAAGUUGAAGAGGUGGCUGCGCAGCAUAAAAAACCAUGUCUACUGGAGUGCGACGAGCACAACCUCGGGCCGGAGAAGGUGGCAAGGUGGACGUCACUGGUCAACCACCUACAAAACGUUCACGUGCAUGAUGACCCCCUGUUCCCCAAGUGCACACAUCCUGUAGGAGCCGCAAGCGAUGCAAAUAAACCUUACCUAAAAGGUGGCUCAAUAACACUCGCCAGAGUUGAAACGAUACUCACCAACAAGAGAGUUCUCAAAGAUGUGCUAAAGCUAAGCCAUCACUACCAGACCUCAUCCCUGGAGUCCUUCCACAACUUAAUUCUGCGUUUUACCCCAAAAAAUGUGGUUGUCCCCUUCAUUGGAAUGUUGUGCAGUCUAUGUGGAUGAGC
Gymnodraco acuticeps is the source of this 875-nucleotide long non-coding RNA. RefSeq lists it as uncharacterized. NCBI's taxonomy places the organism in Eukaryota, Metazoa, Chordata, Actinopteri, Perciformes, Bathydraconidae. The transcript has 4 exons. The record is from RefSeq and is a predicted model, not a curated record.